Long non-coding RNA from Mus spicilegus (steppe mouse), 4716 nucleotides. NCBI's taxonomy places the organism in Eukaryota, Metazoa, Chordata, Mammalia, Rodentia, Muridae. The record is from Ensembl.
CAUGAUAGUUAAGAAAAACGAUGUCUGAAUAAUAUAUAUUCUAAUUUACUAUUAAUGACUAUAACAACUAUCUUGUAUCACGUUCUAUUUUCCUAGGUUCAAUUAAUUAUAUGGAUUCACAACAAGAACUGGAUAUAAAGUCAGAAUUAGAGGAAGAACCAAAAAGCCAUGGUAAUGGUGAGAAAUCACAGCAUGAGCACAUGUUUAAGCUGCCUUGGCCGAAGAGUGUUACACGUGAAAACUUUGAUUCUCCCGAACAAUAUUCUGAAUGUAAGGCUACCAAUGAAAGGAAAGAAUAUGAUUCAGAUAGUAAUUCAUCAGUGAUGGAUGUAAAAACUUCUUGUGUAGAAUCAAAUUUAAAAAUAGAAACAAAGGAAAAUCUUGAUGGCAAUGAAACUAGUCAACCACCUUUAUCAUUAGGAUUAACUGCAACAUCAACAGAUAUUCUAAAUGAAGGAGCGAAAGGUUUUCAAAAGACAUUCCUUGAAUUGAAGCCUCCCAUGGAAAUGAAAGAUUCUGACUCAACAGAGGCCUCAGCCAAGAUGCAUAGACAAGGAUUCCUAGCAGAUGUAGUAGACAUAAAACUGGAAACAGAGAACCAGGAUUAUCCUGAUAGCCGAGAAAAUAUUCAGUCAUCUAACACCAUUACAUCUCUUCAGUCAAAGUGCACUCCUCAUUUAUCAGUUGGAAUAACUUCAAGAUCCACGAGUCUUCUAACUGAAGGAGAGAAAGAUUUCCAUAAGAAAAACCCUGACUGGAAGCCUACCCAGUAUCUGCCUGGAAGUAAAGCUCUAGCUUCAUCGGAAGUAUCAAUGCUGAAGCACAAACAAGAAUUUCCACCAGGCUUUUGUGUUAACAAUUCUGAACAAAAGUCUUCCAUUGAAGAGAACUACGUUCCAACUAAAGAACCGGCAGUAAAGUGUGGACGAGAAUUCCCAGCAGAAGCAGACUGGAAAAUAAAAACAGACGAUUUUCAGGAAAAUCUUGAUGACAAUGAAAGUAUCCGAUCUACUAAUUCUUUUACGUGUCUUCAACCGAGGCCUAGUCCUUAUUUGUCAUUAGAAUUAACUCAAAGGUCACAGACUCUUCUAAAUGAAGGAGAGAAAGGUCCGCAUAAGAAGCAUCCUGAAGGGAAGAAAACUCCAUCAACUGAAAGAGAAGAUUCUCUUCCACUUGAGUCAUCAGUGUGGGAACAAGAACUGGAGCACCCAUCAGAAGUGGACACACAAAAGAAAGCAGACGACAACCUUAAAAAUCUUGAUGGAAGUGAAAGUUUUCAGUCAUCUGAUACCAUGCAAGAUCUUCCACUGUGCCACAUACCACCUUCAUCAACACCCAAGGAUCUUCUAAAUGAAGGAGGAAAAGAAGCUGAAUUAAAAGAUGAAUUAAUGAAAAAUCAAAACCAUCUUGAGAGCACUACUCAUAUAUCUGAUAGCGUUAUGCAUCUUCCAUCCAGGCAUAUUCCUCAUUCAUCAACAGGAAUAAGUCCAAGAGUCACAAAUCCUCCUAAGGCAGGAGAAGAAGAAGACUUACAUAUGAAACUGGAGGAAAAUCAAAUAAAUAUUGAUGGCAAUGAAAGCAUUCAAUCAUAUGAUAAUGUGAAACACCUUCAACCAAGAGGAAUCUGUCAUUUACUGAUGGGGCUCAUUCCAAGACCCAUGAAUAUUCUAAGUAGAAGAGGGAAAGGCUCUCACAAGAAAUGUGCUCCAUGUGAGAAUCCUAUUGAAAUUAAAGAGUUUGAUCCAAAUGCAAAAUUGGAAAGACAAGAAAUAAAAACAUUCACAUCAGUGAUGUUAGAAGAUGAUCAGAACCUGUGUGAUGGCAGCAAAAAUAACCAGCCAUUGAUUGAAGCAUCCCUGAAGAAACGGACAAGCCAGAAAACAGAAGAUGCGGCUCAAUUCUGUGACUGUGUGUUAGCUGCCACUGCUCAUGAUGUUUCUACUGCUUCUGUUGUUGCUGCUAUCGUUGCAGCAACUGUUGUUGCUGCAGCGGCUCCUGCCACUGCUGCUGCUGCUGCUUCUGCUGCUGUAGCUGCAGUUGUUGCUGCUGCGGCUCCUGCUGCUGCUGCGGUUGCUUCUGCCACUGCAGCUGUUGAUGCUCUUGCUGAUGUUUCUCCUGGGGCUGCACCUGACAGUUCUGCUAUACCUGUUGCUGCUGCGACUGCUGCGACUGCUGCUGCUGUUCCUGCUGCAGCUGCCGCCAGUGCCCCAGAUGCUGCUCCUGCUGUGGUUGCUGCUGCUGCUGCUGCAGCUGCUGCUGCUGUUGCAGUGACUUCGGUGGCUGCUGCUUCUCUCACUGCUGUUUCUGCUGCUUCUGUUGCUGCGGUGGUUGCUGUUGCUGUCACUGCCAGAGCUGGUUUGGAUGCUCCCACUGUUGCUCCUGCUGCUGCUGCUGCUGUUGCUGCUGUUGCUGCUGCUACUGGUCCUGCAGCGGCUGCUGCUCUUGUGGCAUCUGUUGCUGCUGCUGCUGUCACUCCUUGUGUUCCUCCUGCUGCUCCAGCGUUAGCUGCAGCCCCUUCUUCUGUUGCUGCUGCUACUGCGGCUGCUGCUGCAGUUACUACUCAUGCUGCAGCUUCACCUGCUGUAGCCGCUGCUGCAGCUGCAGCUGCUGCUGUUGCUGUUGCUGUUCCCACAGAUGCUACGACCGCUACUGCAGCUGUAGUUUCUUCUGACAUCCCUACUGCUGCACCCAUUGCUGUUUCUGUUGCUGCUGGUGGUGCUGCUGAUGCAAAAGGAAGACUCAGUCUACAAAGAAAGUAUGUGGAGGAGGAAAAGCAGCAAUAUCCUACCGAGGAAGCAGAGGAGCAUGAUGGGAUCAAAAAGACAACAUCUACAGAAAAAAAUCAGCCAGUAAAAGACAGACAUGAUUCUCAUGCGUUGACUCCGGUAACUGAAUCGUGCUCAGCAGAAUAUCUUGGUAGCCCCUUAAAAAGUACACCUGCCUUUGAUUCAUAUAAAGAGUUAUUAGAGCUUAAAGAAUUCAAUGUUCAAAUACUCACAGAAAAAACUAAAGUGGAAAAUGAAUUAUUUGAAGUAAAAGAAGAGAACUCACAGUUAGAGAAAAAAAUUGUAAGAAAGAAUGAAAGAAUCUGUACUCUGAGAUCAAUCAUAAAAGAACAAGUGGAGAAAAAAAGAAAUAUAAUUUGUGCUUAUAAUGAGGUUGUGGAGGAACUGAGAGAAAAAGAAGAGAUGAUUCAGAGAAAAGGAGAACAAUAUAACAGACAAGUUACAGAGACACAAGAGCUUGAAAUAUGUCUGAAGACAAAAGAUGUGGAGUUGAAGCAGCUACAAAAAAAAGAACAUGCACAGAAGAUGGAAGAUCACCUACAAAUUUUGGAACUAGAAAUUACCUCACUAAUAGCAACAGUGAAGAAACAGAAGGAGGAAAUUGAACAUCUGCAGAGAGAUGUGCAAAACCAGCACAAAAUCCUGGCACAGAGUUCCAAUUUUACGGAGACAGCUGCUCGGGAAAAUCAGGACACGUGGAAUAACAACACUACGGUAAUAACAGAGAUGCAAAACUUAAUCAAAAGCUUGAAGUCUGAAGUCUCCAGUGUGAAAAUCUCCAAAGAGUUCAGCAAAAAAGAACUAGAAAAGUAUAAGCGAUUCUAUCUAGAAGAAAUAAGAAAUAAAAACUUCUUAUUACAUGAACUAAACAGGACUAAUGAGAGUCAAGAACAAUCCCAUACAGAACUUCACAUGAAAUUUCAGCAAAACAUUUCUGCAUCAAAAACCCUGAAUACAAGGCUUGUUCAUGAGUGUUCUUGUGUGGAAAAAACUGAGAAACUGGAAAGCAAGGACUUCCUCCCUGGGGAAAACUUGGUGUUGCCUUCUUCCAGCACAGAAUCAACUCAUGUCUGCAUGGAGCACUACCCAUGGACGUCUGAAGAUGACAUGAGAGACCUAAGCGAAGGACUCAGUGACGUAAAACAAUUUGUUCAACUUAGUGUGGAGACUCAGAAGAAACAAGACGCUGAAGUAGGAAAAGAACGAGCUGGAAUUGGGAAAUCCUUUAAGAUGACAGAUCAUAGACAUGAUAUUGGAGACUGUGGUUCUCAUGGGGAUUUUGAAACCUGCUCACUUGAAAUGAGUACUCCAGCUACAGUGCCAGGAUGCAUGGCACAAGCAACAGGUAAACCAUGCUCAGAAUUCUUAAAGGAGAGCUAUACAACUUCAACAAUCAAUGCAAUGGAAACCAAAAUUAGAAGCCUUAAGUCGACACUCUCUAAACUGAAAGUUAGCAGGGCAUUGCGGGUAUUAGAACUGGAACGCUAUAAGUACCUCUACUAUGAAGAAUUGAGCAUUAGAAAAUCAGUUCAAUAUUACUUAAACAAGAGUAAUGAAGAUUUAGAGAUGAACAGAUCAGAGCUUUACAUGGGAACACAGCACAGCAUCUCUGCAGUAAAUGCACAAGGAAUUGGGCCUUUGACCGAGUGCUCUUCUACUGGCUGCUUUGACAGCUUUCCAGGACCCAGAAAAAGUCUCCUUCUGAGAGAAAACCAGACAGCAUCUUCCACAGACUCUCAACCAUCGACAAGUGGCCUGAAAGAUCGCCUGAAAAUGAUACAACAGGCGUCCCAAUAGAAUUAUGGAGAAGCAAAUAAAGCAAGGAAGACAAUCAACAAGAUUUCUGUUGACAGAUAUUAAACAAUUUGAAACAAUUGGAACAGUUUCUAAAUCAAAUAAAAAUAUGGAUUAUCUACUUUAAGUACCCCCC